GCCAGCAGCCAUAUCACCCUGCAACUCAACAACUGGCAGCCCACUGAAGCUCAGCAGGUGUGAGCCUGGUCAGUACCUGGAUGGGAGACCUCCUGGGAAAAACUAAGGUCACUGCUGGAA
Ribosomal RNA from Lepisosteus oculatus (spotted gar), 120 nucleotides. NCBI's taxonomy places the organism in Eukaryota, Metazoa, Chordata, Actinopteri, Semionotiformes, Lepisosteidae. The record is from Ensembl.